Molecule: long non-coding RNA, 508 nt
Organism: Phacochoerus africanus (Common warthog)
Lineage: Eukaryota; Metazoa; Chordata; Mammalia; Artiodactyla; Suidae
Exons: 3
Source: RefSeq, a predicted model, not a curated record
UGAACCGGAAGUUAACCGCGGGCCCCGCCUGUCGCGCCGUGGGAGGCAGCCUGGGACCGGCCCACGGAGUUGCAGCCGCCCAUCGCUCCCUCCUUGCGGACAUCAUGCUCCAGUUCCUGCUUGGAUUUACUCUCGGCAACGUGGUUGGAAUGUAUCUGGCUCAGAACUAUGACAUACCAAACCUGGCUAAAAAACUUGAAGACAUUAAAAAGGACCUGGAUGCCAAGAAGAAACCCCCUAGUUCAUGAGGCCGACUCCAGCCCUGCCUUCUGGAUUCUCCUAUUGUCGAGGGCCUCCUUUACUGUCUGAACCAAAAGCUUUUGUUUUAAUUUCCAGCCUCAGCAGUUUUCUUCAUUGUGUUGCCUUAGAGCGCAAAUGGGGCCACAAGUUACGAACUACCCUUAAUUUUCCAACAGCAUCACUUCUUCCCUUGCUCCUUCCAGCCACUUGGGAGGCCCUGAAACUGGAAUUAUGGUGCUAGAUUAGUAAACAUGACCUUUAAUUAGUA